Long non-coding RNA from Octopus sinensis (East Asian common octopus), 191 nucleotides. RefSeq lists it as uncharacterized. Lineage: Eukaryota; Metazoa; Mollusca; Cephalopoda; Octopoda; Octopodidae. The record is from RefSeq and is a predicted model, not a curated record. The transcript has 3 exons.
AUAUAUAUAUAUAUAUAUGCGUGUGUGUGUUUUAUGUAUAACGUGUGCAACCUGUGGAAAGGCGUGCCUUUCAGUUGGAGGAUAGAAAAGGCAUGUCAAAAGGCUGCAUACUGUGGCACCUGUUCUUUCUGCUAGCCAGCACAGCUGCGCAUUAUGCAAUAGAAUGUGAAAAUCUUUGGCCGGGCUCAAGA